GUCCAUGCCGUAAACGAUGGGUGCUAGGUGUCGCGGGCAUUGACCCCUGCGGUGCCGUAGCUAACGCAUUAAGCACCCCGCCUGGGGAGUACGGCCGCAAGGCUAAAACUCAAAGGAAUUGACGGGGCCCGCACAAGCGGUGGAGCAUGUGGUUUAAUUCGAUGCAACGCGAAGAACCUUACCUGGGCUAGAAAGUACGCGAGCCUGGCGGAAACGUCGGGGUGCCCUUCGGGGAACGCGUGGUUAGGUGCUGCAUGGCUGUCGU
RNAcentral lists this ribosomal RNA (265 nucleotides) under uncultured bacterium. RNAcentral's name for it is "partial 16S ribosomal RNA". It matches the Rfam family "Bacterial small subunit ribosomal RNA", at positions 793 to 1055 of the family's 1533-position model. The record is from RNAcentral.